RNAcentral lists this ribosomal RNA (460 nucleotides) under uncultured bacterium. RNAcentral's name for it is "partial 16S ribosomal RNA". It matches the Rfam family "Bacterial small subunit ribosomal RNA", at positions 338 to 795 of the family's 1533-position model. The record is from RNAcentral.
CCUACGGGUGGCAGCAGUGAGGAAUAUUGGUCAAUGGGCGGAAGCCUGAACCAGCCAAGUCGCGUGAGGGAGUAAGGCCCUACGGGUCGUAAACCUCUUUUGCCGUGGAGCAGUGCCCAGCUCGUGAGCUGGGAGGGAGCGUACCCGGAGAAAAAGCAUCGGCUAACUCCGUGCCAGCAGCCGCGGUAAUACGGGGGAUGCGAGCGUUAUCCGGAGGUAUUGGGGUUAAAGGGUGCGUAGGCGGGCCUUCAGGCCGGCGGUAAAAUUGCGGGGCUCAACCCCGCCGAGCGGUAGGAACCGGGGGCCUUGAGGACCGGAGAAGUACGCGGAAUGCGUGGUGUAGCGGUGAAAUGCAUAGAUAUCACGCAGAACCCCGAGUGCGAAGGCAGCGUACCGGCCGGUCACUGACGCUGAGGCACGAAAGCGCGGGUAUCGAACAGGAUUAGAUACCCUUGUAGUC